This 21-nucleotide non-coding RNA is filed under the name Caenorhabditis elegans. Lineage: Eukaryota; Metazoa; Nematoda; Chromadorea; Rhabditida; Rhabditidae. The record is from RNAcentral.
AAGAAUCUGAACCACUAAAAU